This 879-nucleotide long non-coding RNA is filed under the name Junco hyemalis (dark-eyed junco). RNAcentral's name for it is "lncRNA (ENSJHYG00000007801.1)". Lineage: Eukaryota; Metazoa; Chordata; Aves; Passeriformes; Passerellidae. The record is from RNAcentral.
CCAAAGAGUGCUAUUCCAAUUAAUGUUCAUUCUGCAAGGCCACUCUUGUUCCCUCCAGUGCUCCUUUUGUUGGGCUUCUCUUCCAGGAAGGCUGCAGGCUUUUUCUGUCACUUGCCCAAGUCCUCUUUAACAUUGAUUCCCUUUCCUUUGUGUUUUUUUAGCACAGAAAUGAAAGUACUGGACUUCUGUGCACUGUAAGCUUUGGCUAGGAUAAUCAUGUUAUUUGGGUGAUUCUGGGAAUCACAGGUUGUCAUUGUCCCUGGCACUAAGAGCAGAAAGGCAAAUAUGGUGCCAGUGACUCAGACCUGCAUUGCUGGUACCUCACUGGGGAGAUGCAGUGCAGGAAGGGACCUGCCAUCCUCAGCCCCUGCUUGGUACCUGUAAGCACUGAGUUUUCUGUCACCCUGCCCUUUUCCCUGUGGGUUGCCUGGUCCUUCUCUCCUAGCAAACACAGAGAAUCAACAUCGUUGAUUCAGCUGGACUUUGAAUUCUGGGUUACAGGGCCAUAUUCUUGUCUUUUGUGUUACAAUGUUGUCCCUGAAGAAAUUCGAUUGCAUUUUACUUUGGACUCUGUGAAACUGACAACUGCUGAUGCUCCAGCAUGAAGAUCAAGGUACCAACGAUCCUCAGAAGAAGACACAUUUCCCAGGGCACUGGAGAUUACACAUCUAGCAGAACUGAAAUCAAAGGCAUGGUAAAUGAUAAUAUCUAGAAUCUUUCUCAGAUCCUGCAAAACACAAUGGAACCAAUCAACAAAGGGAGACUGGAUUUUUUCUUUUCCUUUUGCUUCAUUUCAGUGCAUAAAUGGAAUUCUAGUUCUGUGUUUUUGCUCAAAAUAUGGAAAAGCCAAUAAAAUCUUCUAGAAAUAUUAUUUUUUCA